CUAACCCGUCUUGGAAACACGGACCAAGGAGUCUAACAUGCGCGCGAGUCGUUGGGUCGGACGCGCUCCGCGAAACCCUAAGGCAGAAUGAAAGUGAAGGCCGCCCUCGAGGGGCCGAGGGAGGACGGGGGCGCCGCCUNNNNNAGCGCGNNNNCGUGCCUCCCGCACUCCCGGGGCGUCUGAUUCCUCACUGCGAGGGAAGGCGCACCCAGAGCGCACACGUUGGGACCCGAAAGUGGUGAACUAU
Molecule: ribosomal RNA, 247 nt
Filed under: Pentathemis membranulata
Lineage: Eukaryota; Metazoa; Arthropoda; Insecta; Odonata; Corduliidae
Description: partial 28S ribosomal RNA
Rfam family: Eukaryotic large subunit ribosomal RNA
Source: RNAcentral